This 449-nucleotide ribosomal RNA is filed under the name uncultured bacterium. RNAcentral describes it as "partial 16S ribosomal RNA". It matches the Rfam family "Bacterial small subunit ribosomal RNA", at positions 29 to 523 of the family's 1533-position model. The record is from RNAcentral.
AACGAACGCUGGCGGCAGGCCUAACACAUGCAAGUCGAACGCAUCCUUCGGGGUGAGUGGCGCACGGGUGAGUAACACGUGGGAAUGUAUCCUUUGGUUCGGAAUAACGUCUGGAAACGGACGCUAAUACCGGAUGAGCCCUUAGGGGGAAAGAUUUAUCGCCGAAGGAGCAGCCCGCGUCUGAUUAGGUAGUUGGUGGGGUAAAGGCCUACCAAGCCGACGAUCAGUAGCUGGUCUGAGAGGAUGAUCAGCCACACUGGGACUGAGACACGGCCCAGACUCCUACGGGAGGCAGCAGUGGGGAAUAUUGGACAAUGGGCGCAAGCCUGAUCCAGCCAUGCCGCGUGAGUGAUGAAGGCCUUCGGGUUGUAAAGCUCUUUCGCACACGACGAUGAUGACGGUAGUGUGAGAAGAAGCCCCGGCUAACUUCGUGCCAGCCGCCGCGGUAA